This 444-nucleotide ribosomal RNA is filed under the name uncultured Ochrobactrum sp. RNAcentral's name for it is "bacterial SSU rRNA". It matches the Rfam family "Bacterial small subunit ribosomal RNA", at positions 335 to 796 of the family's 1533-position model. The record is from RNAcentral. Lineage: Bacteria; Pseudomonadati; Pseudomonadota; Alphaproteobacteria; Hyphomicrobiales; Brucellaceae.
UUUCCUACGGGUGGCUGCAGUGGGGAAUAUUGGACAAUGGGCGCAAGCCUGAUCCAGCCAUGCCGCGUGAGUGAUGAAGGCCCUAGGGUUGUAAAGCUCUUUCACCGGUGAAGAUAAUGACGGUAACCGGAGAAGAAGCCCCGGCUAACUUCGUGCCAGCAGCCGCGGUAAUACGAAGGGGGCUAGCGUUGUUCGGAUUUACUGGGCGUAAAGCGCACGUAGGCGGACUUUUAAGUCAGGGGUGAAAUCCCGGGGCUCAACCCCGGAACUGCCUUUGAUACUGGAAGUCUUGAGUAUGGAAGAGGUGAGUGGAAUUCCGAGUGUAGAGGUGAAAUUCGUAGAUAUUCGGAGGAACACCAGUGGCGAAGGCGGCUCACUGGUCCAUUACUGACGCUGAGGUGCGAAAGCGUGGGGAGCAAACAGGAUUAGAUACCCGUGUAGUCU